RNAcentral lists this unclassified non-coding RNA (694 nucleotides) under Timaviella circinata GR4. RNAcentral describes it as "contains 16S-23S intergenic spacer region". The stretch from base 1 to 140 matches the Rfam family "Bacterial small subunit ribosomal RNA", at positions 1396 to 1533 of the family's 1533-position model. The record is from RNAcentral. Lineage: Bacteria; Bacillati; Cyanobacteriota; Cyanophyceae; Oculatellales; Oculatellaceae.
GUCACACCAUGGGAGUUGGCCACGCCCGAAGUCGUUACCCCAACCGUUCGCGGAGGGGGAUGCCGAAGGCAGGGCUGAUGACUGGGGUGAAGUCGUAACAAGGUAGCCGUACCGGAAGGUGUGGCUGGAUCACCUCCUUUAUAGGGAGACCUACCUAUUCCCUAUGGAAAGCAACGAGAAGUCAAGAGACUCAACGCUGUGAUUAGAUAGAGAACAGGUCACCCCAAAGGUCGUUCGGAUUUAGAUGUUAGGUUUUCAAGCUAUAUAGGGUGGUUCGGUAUAAAGGGCUAUUAGCUCAGGUGGUUAGAGCGCACCCCUGAUAAGGGUGAGGUCCCUGGUUCGAAUCCAGGAUGGCCCACCAUUACUCAAUGGGGGGGUUUAGCUCAGUUGGUAGAGCGCCUGCUUUGCAAGCAGGAUGUCAACGGUUCGAGUCCGUUAACCUCCACUGGGUGAAUGACCCUAGCUGAAAAAAUUAAUAGAGAGCAUUUCAGCAACUGAUCUAGCGAAGAUUCAAUUAACCUUCCUCUAGAGAGCCUGCUGAGGUUAGCCUCAGUGAGAACCUUGAAAACUGCAUAGAAACUUGUCAGGUAGUCGUUAAUUGAGAGUGAUUAGCCCUCAGUUAACGAAAGUAUCACAGACACCAAUGUAAGUUUGCGAAUAUUAAGUGGUCAAGCUACAAAGGGCUGAUGGUGGA